Molecule: ribosomal RNA, 368 nt
Filed under: uncultured bacterium
Lineage: Bacteria
Description: bacterial SSU rRNA
Rfam family: Bacterial small subunit ribosomal RNA
Source: RNAcentral
AUACGUAGGUGGCGAGCGUUAUCCGGAAUUAUUGGGCGUAAAGGGUGCGUAGGCGGCCUGAAAAGUCUGUGGUGAAAUCGUGGGGCUCAACCCCAUCAAGCCCCAGAAACUAUCAGGCUGGAGAACAGCAGAGGCAAGCGGAAUUCCAUGUGUAGCGGUAAAAUGCGUAGAUAUAUGGAGGAACACCGGUGGCGAAGGCGGCUUGCUGGGCUGUUACUGACGCUGAGGCACGAAAGCGUGGGGAGCAAAUAGGAUUAGAUACCCUAGUAGUCCACGCCGUAAACGAUGAAUACUAAGUGUUGGAGAAAUUCAGUGCUGCAGUUAACGCAAUAAGUAUUCCGCCUGGGGAGUACGCACGCAAGUGUGAA